RNA transcript from Ricinus communis (castor bean), 2489 nucleotides. It is a transcript of the gene named CBL-interacting protein kinase 2, with no coding region annotated. Lineage: Eukaryota; Viridiplantae; Streptophyta; Magnoliopsida; Malpighiales; Euphorbiaceae. The record is from RefSeq and is a predicted model, not a curated record. The transcript has 4 exons.
GUCAGUUCCUAUUUAUAUACUUUUCCUUAUAAUAGCCAACGCAAAGAUGAUAGCCUUUUGAUAUACAUACAUAAUCCCAUUUUCUUAUUUGUCUUUCCUUUCUUUUUGUGCCUCUCCUCUCUCUCUCUUGAACCUUACGAUUUGCUCGAGGGAGGCCCUUUCUUCCCUUCAAAGAUUCUUCUCUGCUAUUUUCUUGGCUGCUUGGUGAAACAUCUUUCCCAUACAGCAUUGAAAGUAAAACAAUAGGGAAUGCUGAAAGAUGUGCUUGAAUGCUGGUAAUUCUUUCUGUGGUAUCUGUGAAGUCCAGUUGCAAUUUCAGCUGCUUUCAUUAUCCACCCUUUGUGAGGUUGGAUACUCAGCACAUGACAGAUUUGAGCUUGAAGUCCGAAUGGAUAAGGGUUUCAAAAAGCACAAUCUUGUUGAGGACGGCUGAAUUAUUGAGUUCUUAAGACUGCCCUGUACAGUUUUGAAGCAGGAGUGCAUAUUUUAGUAAAUUCUAUUAGGAUUUGAUAUUGACAAUGGAGCAUAAAAGGAAUGUGUUGAUGCAGAGGUAUGAUUUUGGAAGAUUAUUAGGCCAAGGAAACUUUGCCAAGGUUUACUACGCAAGGAACAUUAAAACUGGUCAGAGCGUGGCUGUUAAGAUCAUUGACAAGGAGAAGAUUCUGAAGGUGGGGCUGAUUAAUCAGAUCAAGAGAGAGAUAUCUGUUAUGAAACUGGUUAAACAUCCAAAUGUGUUGCAGCUUUAUGAGGUCAUGGCCUCCAAAGCCAAGAUUUACUUUGUGAUAGAAUAUGCUAAAGGUGGUGAGCUCUUUAAGAAGGUAGCAAAAGGAAGGCUCAAGGAAGAUGCUGCAAGGAACUAUUUUCAACAGUUAAUCAGUGCAGUUGAUUUUUGUCACAGCAGAGGUGUUUAUCACAGGGAUCUGAAACCAGAAAACUUAUUAUUGGAUGAAAAUGGAAUUCUGAAGGUCUCAGAUUUUGGGUUGAGUGCACUUGUUGAGUCCAAUUCUCAGGAUGGUUUGCUCCACACAACUUGCGGAACUCCUGCAUAUGUUGCUCCGGAGGUUAUCAGCCGAAAAGGCUAUGAUGGAGCGAAAGCUGACAUUUGGUCAUGCGGGGUAAUCUUGUAUGUUUUGCUGGCUGGUUUUCUCCCAUUCCAUGAUGCAAAUCUAAUUUUGCUGUAUAGGAAAAUUAGCAAGGCGGAAUAUAAAUUCCCUAACUGGUUUUCGCCUGAAGUGCGCAAGCUUUUGUCAAAAAUACUGGAUCCUAACCCAACAACUAGAAUUUCCAUUGCAAAAAUAAUGGAGAAUUCGUGGUUUAGAAAAGGAUUCACUGCUAAAGUUUUCCCAGCUAGAAAUGAUGUUCAGAAAUUCGACUCUUUGGUGACUGAUACAACUUUUUUGGUCCCUUAUGAGAAUCAUACCACCACUGCUGAAAAUAAGAAAGAGUUGGGCAAGCCUACCAGUUUGAAUGCUUUCGAUAUCAUCUCUCUUUCAAGUGGGUUUAAUCUGUCUGGUUUCUUUUCCAGAAAUUACCAAGAGAAAGAAACAACAUUCACAUCAGUACACUCUGCCACAACCAUCAUAUCUAAAAUAGAGGACACUGCUAGGGAUCUGAGGCUGGAAGUAAAGAAGAAACAUGGAGGGCUGUUGAAAUUGGAGGGGUCCAAGGGAGGUAGAAAAGGUGCAUUGUCUAUUGAUGCAGAAAUAUUUGAGUUUACUCCAUCUUUUCAUUUGGUAGAAGUGAAAAAAUCAGGUGGUGAUACACUGGAAUACCUGCAUAUAUUGGAAGAGGGUCUGAGACCAGCUCUUAAGGACAUCGUCUGGGUGUGGCAAGGCGAGCAGCAGCAGCAACAACAACAAGAACAACAAGAGCAACUCGUGCAAUCUUCCUAGUCAUAUUUUCUUAUGGAAAUCACAUAGCUUAAGAGGAUAAUCGGUCAGAAAAAAGCAAGGGAUGUUUAUUUUAGGUGGCUAAACUUUGAACAUAAACCUGAGUCUGGGUUCUGGAGUCAUUUCCUUCACUGAGAGUUAUGGCCAUGCACUUGGAUUAAUUAUUCCGAAGGCAAGGGCCAUCCGUACUAUGAAUUUGCUUGGAAACGGCAUGAUCUUGAUUUGUCAGGCAAUAUCAGUGAGGAGUAGAUUUCUCCAAUACUGGGCCUUGAACGCAUAGCUGAUCUUGAAAAACUCAAGGAUAAAGAAAAGAGAAAGCAAGAAAAGGAUAAGGUAUCAUGGUGGCAUUGCUCAUAAUUGGAAAGCAAUAGUGGUAAGUGUGUCUGUGAUAGCUAGUGGCAAAAUGGUGGCAGCAGUAGCAGCAGCAGUAGAUGUAAUGCUAAUUAAUAGCUGAGAGAUGUGCUUUGUGUAGUUCCAAGCUCAUCAGGAGUUUGAACCUGUAACCACACAGCUCUCAGGAUAAUUUCAGCAUCAUAAGAAUGUACUUGCAGUAUAAAUUUUCUUUUUUCCUUCCCAAGAAGAAGGGAUUUUCUAUCCUUA